GUGCGGAUCGAACAACCAACCUUCGGAUCAAGAUAUCUCGAGCUAUACACGAUCGUUUCUUGUGAUUCUUGGCUUGUUGAGUUCAUAAGGAAGUUCUGAACAAUUCUCCAGAAGGGAUCGAGGCGUGAGGUUGUAAUUUUCACGUCGAUUUUGGAGCUCGCCGGAUUCUGGAAAUUUUCCACCACCACCGAAGCUUUUGAUAGGUAUAUCUCGAGUUGUAGUGCAUCGUUUUGAGUGAUUCUUAAACUGGUAAACUCACCUUGAGUUUCUUAACAACUCUCUAGAAGGAAUCGAAGCCUGAAAUUGAAGUUUUGACGUCGAAAUCAAGCCUUGCCGGAUUCUGCAAAAUUCUGGAAUUUUUCCGACCACCGAAGCUUUCGAUCGGUAUAUCUCGAGCUACAGACCAUAUUUUUCUGUGAUUCUUGAACCAGUGAGUUUUUCUUGAGUUUCUUAACAACUCUUCAGAAGGAAUCGAAGCCUUAAAUUGACGUUUUUACGUCGAAUUGGAGCUCGCCGUUUUCUGCAGUUUCUCGCCGGUUUCUGGAAAAUUCCGGCCACCUUCAUACUGUUCAAGGUGAUCGACGGUUUGAUUUGGCGGACGAUUCGUGAAAUUGUAUUUUGAGCUGUUAAGAAGACGCAGCGGGAAUUUAGAGCGGGAAAUCCUACAGGUCAGGAGAACCAGGACGGUGAUCGGACUGCUUAGAGUAGUGUUAUGUGAAUUACAGCAUUAUAUUGUGAGGUUUGUUAUGCUCAUUUAGAGCUUUGCAAUUUUACUUUGUAAGAGUGAAUUGUAAUAAUUAACUCGAGGUUUUCGAGUUUUUGUGUUGAGUGGCGAGUGGUGUGUUUGUUUGUGAGAAAAAA
This is a long non-coding RNA of Rosa rugosa (rugosa rose), 861 nucleotides long. RefSeq lists it as uncharacterized. The transcript has 3 exons. The record is from RefSeq and is a predicted model, not a curated record. Lineage: Eukaryota; Viridiplantae; Streptophyta; Magnoliopsida; Rosales; Rosaceae.